CCUACGGGAGGCAGCAGUGGGGAAUUUUGGACAAUGGGCGCAAGCCUGAUCCAGCAAUGCCGCGUGCAGGAUGAAGGCCUUCGGGUUGUAAACUGCUUUUGUACGGAACGAAACGGUGAGCUCUAAUAAAGUUUGCUAAUGACGGUACCGUAAGAAUAAGCACCGGCUAACUACGUGCCAGCAGCCGCGGUAAUACGUAGGGUGCGAGCGUUAAUCGGAAUUACUGGGCGUAAAGCGUGCGCAGGCGGUUAUAUAAGACAGAUGUGAAAUCCCCGGGCUCAACCUGGGACCUGCAUUUGUGACUGUAUAGCUAGAGUACGGUAGAGGGGGAUGGAAUUCCGCGUGUAGCAGUGAAAUGCGUAGAUAUGCGGAGGAACACCGAUGGCGAAGGCAAUCCCCUGGACCUGUACUGACGCUCAUGCACGAAAGCGUGGGGAGCAAACAGGAUUAGAUACCCUGGUAGUCCACGCCCUAAACCGAUGUCAACUGGUUGUUGGGUCUUCACUGACUCAGUAACGAAGCUAACGCGUGAAGUUGACCGCCUGGGGAGUACGGCCGCAAGGUUGAAACUCAAAGGAUUGACGGCUGAGACGNGCGAGCGACGACGAGGGAGGAGG
This 617-nucleotide ribosomal RNA is filed under the name uncultured bacterium. RNAcentral's name for it is "bacterial SSU rRNA". It matches the Rfam family "Bacterial small subunit ribosomal RNA", at positions 338 to 947 of the family's 1533-position model. The record is from RNAcentral.